CAAAUAAAUAAAUAGAACAAAACAGGAAAAAGCGACAAGUAUGUUUAUUUAGACGUGAGAAUAAUGAAGCCCAAGGAGAAGUUGCAGCCCUCACUCACAGACAUUCAGCACGGGAGAACAAGCAACAGCUGGGCUGUAACUUCUACCCCCACUAGAUUCAACUAAUUAACAUGUGAAGCCCCUUUGCAUACCACUAAUUUUAAGUGCGAAGUAACCUCUGCUCAUAGCAGCUCAGCAGACAAGUACAAGCAUCUGUAAGGCAAAUCAUUUUCUCUCCCAUCGUUUAAAGUACCUCCUGACGAAAUAUCAGUAUAUAAGUUACAAUUUUAGUGGUGGAACGCCGAAAGGUAUCCCAACAAAAACGGUUUUAAGUUCAAAUUUUAAUUAGAAGAAACUGAAACAUAUCUGAUGAUUUAGGUGCAACAUAAAGUAGUAAUAGAAUUGGGAGUUUCUCCUGCAAGUCCUUAUUGGUUUUUCUCUUUCCUGCCAUGCAGUCGGCCCCUCCGAGAAGUCAAAAGGGGGUUUUAUGGUGGGCUUAAGACUUUGUUUUAUGGUCUGACAAUAGAGAUUGCUCAGAAUAGUGUAGUGACUUUAAAAUUACAACUUAUAACCUU
This is a long non-coding RNA of Xiphophorus couchianus (Monterrey platyfish), 614 nucleotides long. RefSeq lists it as uncharacterized. NCBI's taxonomy places the organism in Eukaryota, Metazoa, Chordata, Actinopteri, Cyprinodontiformes, Poeciliidae. The record is from RefSeq and is a predicted model, not a curated record. The transcript has 3 exons.